Molecule: non-coding RNA, 3183 nt
Organism: Manis javanica (Malayan pangolin)
Lineage: Eukaryota; Metazoa; Chordata; Mammalia; Pholidota; Manidae
Source: RefSeq, a predicted model, not a curated record
CGCGGCGCCGCCGAGCCCCCCGUGCGCCCCGCGCGGGCAGGUGCGUCCGCGGCCCGCAGCGCGUCUCCCGGCCCCCGCGUGCGGGCCCAGCCUGGAGACCGACGAAAGGCUGUGGAAGCCGACUGGGACGACGUGGAUGCAGACAAUGUCCUGGCAAUUACAGCCCUUUGCAUGUGCAGUGAUUCACUCCCCACUGAAUCGUGAAGGAAUAGAAAGCAAAACUGAAAAGAAUGAGGAUAAAAUUCUCAAAACGAUAAGCCACCACGCUCCUGUCAUGCUGCUCAGCGCAGAAGGAAAUUCACUGCUCCUCCGCAGAUGAUCAUGGGCAGCAGGAAAUGGGAAAUCAAGGCCGCUCUGUUUUCCCGGAGCAAAUCCCGACAGCGGUACUGAGCACAGGAAGCGAGGGCAGCAGAGCCGCAAAGCCAGCCAGGCUCCCUGAGACGAUCGCCAUGCUUCAAGCCGCGGAGCUGGUGCAGAAUUACCAGGUGCCUCGGGCUCCCUUCCAAGGAGAAGCUUCUGGCAGGAAGGUGGAAAGCAAGAAAGCUGGUGCCAUCAGGGUGGCCAUGUGGCGGAAGGGGAGGAGCACAGACUUUGAGGACAGACGGAGCUGGUUAGGGUUUUUACCUCAGUCAUCUUCCAUAUAUUCGAGGUACAACACGCUUCUCAAAAGUUACACUGUGUGCAAGUCACCUGGAGAACCUGGUAAAAUGCAGAUUCGGACUCAGUAGGUUUGGGGGUGGGGGGGACUCAAAACGUCACAUUUCUAAUAAGCUCCUAAAAAUACCAGUGCUGCAGAACUGUGACCCGCACCUUGAGAAACAAGGGGCUUGAGCAAGCUGCUUUGUUUCUGAGUGUCGUUUACCCCCUCUGAAAUUUAGAGAGAUAGUAUCUAAUUACAUAAUUGGAGCUUUGAUUAUAAAUAAUGUAUGUAAAGAAUCUAGCACAGUGCUUGGCACAUCAUAGGUGUCCAGUAAGUGGUACUUGUGUUGAAUCUUCCCCCAUUCAAUCCACUUCAAAUGUUUUGCCAGUUUAAGCAAAUGGUAGACAGACCAGGAUGCUUCUGUUAGGUGUGAUGACAACAUUUGCCUGUCUAAACAUACAUUUGGAAUGGUAUGUGCAUUUUCAUGUACAUUGCUGGGUUCAUUUUUUUAAUGAGCGACUGUUCAGCUGCUGAAAAUUUCCGGGUCCCCUUUCUCCCCUUGACUGAUACAGUAGUAUAAUGCAAUAUAGUCAGAGAAAAAAGUGUGAAACGAACAAAAGAUAGCAUUUUAACAACUAAUACAACCUUAGGCACUUUUAAAAGGAAGAAAUAAAACUGGCUAGGAUUUUAGAUAUGUUGUUCAAAUAACUUGAUGUACACAAUGUUAAAGAAGCUUGCCUGCGGUCAAAGUGCUGCUGACAUGCUGAGAAUAAAGACCCAGUGAAGCCACGGAAGGGUCUGUGGGUCUCAAGUCUGUUUUCCCCUGUUACAAAAACUCUUCGUAUCUCUUUUACAUUUCAACAGUCUAAGGUUUUACCACUUGGCGUAAUUUCUUUGGUAACUGUUUCUACAAAGUUAGGCUUUUGACAUAAUUAGGAGCUCUAUUCUGGUGACAGCACAGGCAUCCUGCAAUUACCCGCUGCAUUCGAUGGUAAUUACCUACACUGCCUUUUUCCCCUGUGGCGGAGCAGGCCUGCCCCAUUGUGAUACGGUGGUAAGUGUGGGAAACGCUUUCUUGUGAGGACUGGCUGUGCCGAGGCCUGCUACCUUUCUCUGUAGGGUAUAGAAGAUUGAUACAAAGUGCCUAGAUUACGCCAUCAUUUCCCUUUCUGUGUACAUCCUGCCAGUGGCUUUAACUUGAGUUGGUUUUGUGAGCCGAUGAGAAUUUUAGCCAAAGAAGACACAUGGUCAAGUGAUAAGAUGUUCUGUAUGUAAAAACAUCUGAGUUGUAUUUUGUUUCCUUGAGUAAGGCUUUGAAAACUAUAUGACAGUAAGUUAAACUGAUUUUCCAGAAACAACAUCUCUUAAAAAUCUAACUAGCUAGGGCAACUUUUCUUCACAGAUAAUCUGAAAGUAGAAUCAAUCACAUUUUUAAUUAAUAUGACACAGUACUCCUUUCCUAAAAAGUUCAAAGGAAUUUUGUAUAAAUGAGAUGAUUUCCCUUCAGAACAUAUUUAGAAUAUAAGUAGGAAAAUGCCACUGUGAUCUCAUUAGAAUAUAUAAAAGAGGGAAAACAUGUCUCCAGGAAGUGAUUCCAGACUAGAUUCUGGGGCGUUUGUGUCCUGGGGCCUCCAGUUGUCUCACUCUCUUAUCAGUGAGGGAUGUGCUGUAGCUAAACGUUUGGUUUCCUCAGGAGACAUCACCUCCCUUGGUCCUGUGUGAUCGUUGAGAAGUUAAAUUAACCAAAAACUAUUGAAUAAGCAUCUGCUACACACGAGGCAUCAUGAUUGGUGUUGAGUAAAAAUAGGCAUGCGGGAAACCACCAUGGAUGGUUCUGGUCUUCACGGAACGCAUGCUCUUACAGGGCAGCAGGUGCCAGACGGCAGGGAUUUGGAGCUCAGAGUCCAGGCUGGGCUGAAGACCUCGGUUCUGGGGCUGACACAAACAGUAAUGGAAGGUCUGGGAAUGAAUAAGGUGGGCUGGAGCAGCAGUCGUCAACCCUUAGUCUUGCUUCAGAAUAAUUCAGGGAGCUUCCCAAAGUUCUGAAGCUUAGGCUCCUAUCCUAGACCAGGAGCUGAGACUGUCUCCUGGCGGGGGGCCAUGCUGGUAUUUUUAAAAGCCCCCCAGGGGAUCCUGUACAGCCAGAACUGAGAACUGGUCUAGAGAGGAGGGGGAAAGACAGAUAAAAAAAGUUACAGAAAGCCUAAUCCUAGCUGUUACUGAGAUUAAAAAAAAAACUACUUUUUAAAGGGAGUUGACAUCCACGUUCUUAAGUGUUGAGGAAAAUAAUUUUGUCUGUAGGAUAAAGGAAGGGUUCUACUCCGUCCUCACUUCCCCAUUGCAUGUGUAGAUAAUUUGGAACCUUGACCCUCUUCCUCAAGCGUCACGAUGACAGAGCAGCCUCGUAGGGUCCCGGAGUCUGCACAGUUUGACCGGCACUGGGUAUUUCUGAAGUUGGAUCAGUGUAAGGGUCAAAAUAGCCCUGGAAACAUCCCAAGAAAAAAAGUUGUCACCAUGUAUGGUGACAGAUGUUAAGAAGACUU